GGAGUCCGAUACGCGCCAGAAGCCAUCUUCUCCUAUUAACUUCUCCGGAAAACCGGAGUUACUAUUCACUUAAGUGAUUAGUAUUUAUCACGUAACUUCUCCGUUCUAACUCAUUUCCUUCUGAAACUUGACGAGUGCUUAUGUAAUUAAAUUACACACAUAAACAUCAUCAACAGAGAGUCUAAUUGCACUAUCAAAAUCUCAGUCCUUACAAUAACUGAACUGAAAACAACUGCGAUAA
RNAcentral lists this long non-coding RNA (241 nucleotides) under Ananas comosus (pineapple). RNAcentral describes it as "long non-coding RNA (ACOM_LNC008773)". The record is from RNAcentral. Lineage: Eukaryota; Viridiplantae; Streptophyta; Magnoliopsida; Poales; Bromeliaceae.